This 145-nucleotide unclassified non-coding RNA is filed under the name fungal sp. RNAcentral describes it as "partial internal transcribed spacer region". The stretch from base 1 to 46 matches the Rfam family "Eukaryotic small subunit ribosomal RNA", at positions 1786 to 1831 of the family's 1831-position model. Lineage: Eukaryota; Fungi. The record is from RNAcentral.
AAGUCGUAACAAGGUUUCCGUAGGUGAACCUGCGGAAGGAUCAUUGAGGGAGAGUGGGGAGAGAUGUUGGAAUGAGUUGGGAGAUAUCACGUGACAAAAAGAAUUUAUUUAAAAAUGACUAGCCACCUGGGAUCUCUGGGCUCUU